CGGGGCUUAAAGUCUUGUAAUUGGAAUGAUGGGAAUUUAAACCUCUUCCAGAGUAUCAAUUGGAGGGCAAGUCUGGUGCCAGCAGCCGCGGUAAUUCCAGCUCCAAUAGCGUAUAUUAAAAUUGUUGCAGUUAAAAAGCUCGUAGUUGAAUUUCUGCUGCAUUGCUUGUGUCCCUCUGGGGUCUGUGCAUGUGGCUUUUUUCGGACGGAGUUUCUUUGUCUGAAUGUUUACUUUGAGAAAAUUAGAGUGCUCAAAGCAGGCUUUCGCCUUGAAUAGUUUAGCAUGGAAUAAUAAAGUAGGACUUUGGUUCUAUUUUGUUGGUUUUAGGUACCAAAGUAAUGGUUAAUAGGAACAGUUGGGGGCAUUCGUAUUUAACUGUCAGAGGUGAAAUUCUUAGAUUUGUUAAAGACGAACUACUGCAAAAGCAUUUGCCAAGGAUGUUUUCAUUAAUCAAGAAC
RNAcentral lists this ribosomal RNA (458 nucleotides) under Theileria annulata. Its description in RNAcentral is "SSU rRNA". It matches the Rfam family "Eukaryotic small subunit ribosomal RNA", at positions 486 to 984 of the family's 1831-position model. Lineage: Eukaryota; Apicomplexa; Aconoidasida; Piroplasmida; Theileriidae. The record is from RNAcentral.